This 1264-nucleotide long non-coding RNA is filed under the name Homo sapiens (human). RNAcentral's name for it is "HSALNT0064342". The record is from RNAcentral. Lineage: Eukaryota; Metazoa; Chordata; Mammalia; Primates; Hominidae.
GCCUUAAUUCACUAUUCAUCAUUGACAAAGAUUCUGGCUCCCUGCGUUUUUUCUCAAAGAAACACAAAUAAAAUCUAUGACUGGUCAGCAGGCUGAUUGGCAAACUAUAGCUAUGAGCCAGGCAUACUGUUCCCGUGUCUUUCCCACAAAGCAAACACAAGUUAUUAGGCUACCGUAAAUCCCCCUCUAUGGGCUCCUUUGUUUGAAACCACAACUCUAGGCCUUACAGCCAUUUAGCCAAUGGGGAAAAAUGGAUAUGGCAGAGAGUACACACAAACAUAGUGAUAUGGACAGAAGACAAGGAAACACUGGGUAGAAGACGGUGGUUCCCCAGCAAAGGCCCCAACUCUCAAGCCUGAAGACCCACAGUUCUAAAUGGGGACAACAACAAUAGUAUACUCCAGAAUUCAGACUAGAAGCUCUGUAAGAGCAAGGAUGUUGGGUAUUUUUGCUCACGUUUCCCAGUGCUUUAACAGAAUGCCUGGCAUGAGUAAGUCCUCCAUAAACAUCUGUGGAAUAAAUCAGUAGUAGAGAUUAAGAAAUGGCCUCAAAGAAGGACACAGACAAACAUGGUCCUGGUUCUAGAGGAAGCUAAAUGUGUUCACUUUUCCUGUGAGCUUUACACAGGAGUUUCUGCAACAUAAAAGAGAUCACAAGGCCAGUACCGAUGAAGCCCUUGAUCCUGUGCUUGUUACCUGGGAAAGACUGACAGUAAUACCUUAAAAAUCAUUGUCUCUGUGACUUAGGAGAAACAGGACAAAUUAUCCUAGCAUGAAAUAUAGCCCAAGAAUAUUGUGGGAAUAACGCAGAUUGAUUUUUUUUCUCUUUUCUGAAUUCACAUCUGUAUCCCUCUUUCAGAUAUUUAUUGACUGCUCAGUUCAGUCCCUUUUCAUAUAGAGAAUGAGGGUAUAUUUCAUUUGUUCAAAACUACAAAAAUAAUCAUACCUCUUAUCUUUCAAAUAAAAAUCAACUUUGCUCUCAACAUGUUUGAUGUCUGGAACAUAUCAAUUAAUAUCUUCACUUCAGAGAUUCAUUACAUAAAAUGUUGGAAUCUAUGCUAUAGCAUUACCAUAAAGAGUUGGAUUAAAUAGGAAAAUGAACAGAUACACCAAAAGGAAAGUGGGCAAGACAUAAACGUCAGAGGUGUUUGAACUGGAGCAACUGCAUCUUCAACAGGAGCCGGGUAAAAUAAGGCUGAGACCUUCUGGGCUGCAUUCCCAGACUUAGAAUUCCUAAAACAUUCUAAGUCACAGGGUGAGAGAGG